CGCGGAAGCGUAGCACCCAUCCUCCGGUUCCCCCUCAGACUAUCUCUAUGGGUGGCUGAAGCAGAAAACAUGAAGGCUUUCUUUCCCGUCUUUGUCCGUACAAUUUGAGAGCGACACUGAGAACAACAGAUUUGUCACCAACGUUACUGGAGGCCAACAAUGAGGGGUUAUGAAGUUCAGUAUGGUUCAAUAUGACAGGUAGUAGAAAAAUAUUAUUAUCAAAGUUCUGAAAUACAUGAGCUGAGAAAGAUGCGAGGUCAGCAGAGUUGCGAAGGAGAUGACUUCUAACUGUUUAUGUGCAAUGUACCGUACAUUACCACUGGAAAGCACCAUCAUGACACAUAUUUUUAUUUCAUAAUCCGAGUGUUUGUUCUUUGCCUCUGCUCUCUUGUGAGUCCCAAAAAGUAUGGAAGUGCAGUGGACUGCCCCUUUAAAUGAUUAGAUACCAGAUAAAGCUCUGCCCCCUGUUGUAAAAAUGAAAACAUUGCAAGUUAAAAUGUCCUCACUGUUUUUUUCCAAAUGACAAGUCAAAUGAAGGAAUUAUCAAGCGAUA
Molecule: long non-coding RNA, 553 nt
Organism: Sebastes umbrosus (honeycomb rockfish)
Lineage: Eukaryota; Metazoa; Chordata; Actinopteri; Perciformes; Sebastidae
Exons: 2
Source: RefSeq, a predicted model, not a curated record